RNAcentral lists this ribosomal RNA (1341 nucleotides) under Vibrio sp. JZ08ML70. RNAcentral describes it as "16S ribosomal RNA". It matches the Rfam family "Bacterial small subunit ribosomal RNA", at positions 90 to 1427 of the family's 1533-position model. Lineage: Bacteria; Pseudomonadati; Pseudomonadota; Gammaproteobacteria; Vibrionales; Vibrionaceae. The record is from RNAcentral.
GUCGAGCGGCGGACGGGUGAGUAAUGCCUAGGAAAUUGCCCUGAUGUGGGGGAUAACCAUUGGAAACGAUGGCUAAUACCGCAUAAUGCCUACGGGCCAAAGAGGGGGACCUUCGGGCCUCUCGCGUCAGGAUAUGCCUAGGUGGGAUUAGCUAGUUGGUGAGGUAAUGGCUCACCAAGGCGACGAUCCCUAGCUGGUCUGAGAGGAUGAUCAGCCACACUGGAACUGAGACACGGUCCAGACUCCUACGGGAGGCAGCAGUGGGGAAUAUUGCACAAUGGGCGCAAGCCUGAUGCAGCCAUGCCGCGUGUGUGAAGAAGGCCUUCGGGUUGUAAAGCACUUUCAGUCGUGAGGAAGGUGGUGUAGUUAAUAGCUGCAUUAUUUGACGUUAGCGACAGAAGAAGCACCGGCUAACUCCGUGCCAGCAGCCGCGGUAAUACGGAGGGUGCGAGCGUUAAUCGGAAUUACUGGGCGUAAAGCGCAUGCAGGUGGUUUGUUAAGUCAGAUGUGAAAGCCCGGGGCUCAACCUCGGAAUAGCAUUUGAAACUGGCAGACUAGAGUACUGUAGAGGGGGGUAGAAUUUCAGGUGUAGCGGUGAAAUGCGUAGAGAUCUGAAGGAAUACCGGUGGCGAAGGCGGCCCCCUGGACAGAUACUGACACUCAGAUGCGAAAGCGUGGGGAGCAAACAGGAUUAGAUACCCUGGUAGUCCACGCCGUAAACGAUGUCUACUUGGAGGUUGUGGCCUUGAGCCGUGGCUUUCGGAGCUAACGCGUUAAGUAGACCGCCUGGGGAGUACGGUCGCAAGAUUAAAACUCAAAUGAAUUGACGGGGGCCCGCACAAGCGGUGGAGCAUGUGGUUUAAUUCGAUGCAACGCGAAGAACCUUACCUACUCUUGACAUCCAGAGAACUUUCCAGAGAUGGAUUGGUGCCUUCGGGAACUCUGAGACAGGUGCUGCAUGGCUGUCGUCAGCUCGUGUUGUGAAAUGUUGGGUUAAGUCCCGCAACGAGCGCAACCCUUAUCCUUGUUUGCCAGCGAGUAAUGUCGGGAACUCCAGGGAGACUGCCGGUGAUAAACCGGAGGAAGGUGGGGACGACGUCAAGUCAUCAUGGCCCUUACGAGUAGGGCUACACACGUGCUACAAUGGCGCAUACAGAGGGCAGCAAGCUAGCGAUAGUGAGCGAAUCCCAAAAAGUGCGUCGUAGUCCGGAUUGGAGUCUGCAACUCGACUCCAUGAAGUCGGAAUCGCUAGUAAUCGUGGAUCAGAAUGCCACGGUGAAUACGUUCCCGGGCCUUGUACACACCGCCCGUCACACCAUGGGAGUGGGCUGCAAAAGAAGU